CAGUUCAACUCCAAGGAGACUUCCCACCCCCAGAUAGCAUCAACAUUUUCACUUUAAGAGUGUGCAUAAUACCACUUCCCAAGUACAAUGAUUGUUUUUGUGGAUGAAGGCAGCAGGAAUUUAGAAGAAUUUGGCUAGAACACUGGAAGAAGCUCCAUUCUUACAUAAUAUCACUUCUUAAAAAUAAUCCACCUGAACAAAUAGACUGGAUCUUCUUUUUGAUAUCUGAAAAAAUGCAAUUUGGGCUUCCCCGGCACUACACUAGAGCGCGCAUAGUAACAAACUGACAAGUUAUUUAACAGAAUAGAAAAGUACUGGUGUGGUACCGUGUGAUUGUUGACUCCAGCUUGUCAAGUCAUUCCUGGGAAUUGCAUCUCUUAAGUGCUUCCAUUAUGAAAUUAACCAAUUAUAUGUCUUCUGAUGUUUUAAUUGCAGAGCAAAUCACAUAAGACAUUUAAUUUAUAAUGCCUUUUAAGUACAGUAAACUGAUAACUUGUCACUUCAAGGAAAAGGGGCUCACUGACGAGUUAUCCAAAGUGGUGAGUUAGGCAUAUGUAUAUAAAUCAAUAAAUGCGGCAGGGAUAUUGAUAGCUUAAUGAUUAAGUGGUAGUGAAAGUUAAGCCAGGGUCGACUUAUCAGAAAUCAUAUUAAAAUCCUAGGGAAAUUGAUCAUCAAAUAAGCUAAUUUAGAAGAUGUUUGCAAAUGUAGUGAAUCAAAUACUGUAUUGAUCCAAGGUCUAAGACUUACAAUUCACAAAUGCAUUAAUUUGUCAUUUUGGUGCUGUGAUGGAUUAUUUCUGCCUGAGGGUGUUAAAGGAUGGGGUUGAACUGCAACCCUAAAACAUGUAUUUCUCUUAUUAGGGUUGGAAGUGUCCUACUUAACUGGUUUUGAGAGUACAAGCUCAGAAAGGAUCAAGUGAUGAUUAAAAGAGGGAAAAUAAAUGGCAGAAGUGAAAAAAAGAAUAUUAAAUAACAUGAAAGCAAAAAGGGAGAUAGGUAAAGAGACCUAAGUUUUUUUUGGAAAAUGUUUGGAUUCCCAUAACAAUUUAUUGUGCUUAUCUUGAAAUUAUCUAUAGUAAGGGUUUUAAACUCAGAAUAAAUUGACUUUGGGUGGUGCUACCAUAUAUAAACCCAACUUAUUUUGACCCACCUGAAUAAAUUUAGGCAGAAUACAGUUGAUAUAUGUAUUUUUUUUGAUAAGGUGACAUACUAAAACACUAGCUAAGAAAAUUAAAGCAGGCUAUUAAACAUUAAUUGGAAAAUACUGUAGUUAGAAG
This is a long non-coding RNA of Callorhinchus milii (elephant shark), 1276 nucleotides long. RefSeq lists it as uncharacterized. The record is from RefSeq and is a predicted model, not a curated record. The transcript has 2 exons. Lineage: Eukaryota; Metazoa; Chordata; Chondrichthyes; Chimaeriformes; Callorhinchidae.